CGUGGGAGCGAGCCUGCUCGCGAUGCAGGCGACGCGUUCUUUCAACGAAGCCGUGUCGAUUCAAUCGCGAGCAGGCUCGCUCCCACU
This 87-nucleotide unclassified non-coding RNA is filed under the name Pseudomonas psychrophila. Lineage: Bacteria; Pseudomonadati; Pseudomonadota; Gammaproteobacteria; Pseudomonadales; Pseudomonadaceae. The record is from RNAcentral.